RNAcentral lists this ribosomal RNA (497 nucleotides) under uncultured bacterium. Its description in RNAcentral is "partial 16S ribosomal RNA". It matches the Rfam family "Bacterial small subunit ribosomal RNA", at positions 28 to 507 of the family's 1533-position model. The record is from RNAcentral.
GAUGAACGCUGGCGGCGUGCUUAAUACAUGCAAGCCGAGCGAACAAUUGAGGAGCUUGUUCCUCGGAGUUUAGCGGCGGCGGGGUGAGUAACACGUGGUUAACCUCCUUAUAAGACUGGGAUAACUUCGGGAAACCGGAGUUAAUACCGGAUAAUAUUUUGAACCGCAUGGUUCAUUAGUGAAAGAGGGUUUUGCUGUCCCUUUUGGAUGGACCCGCGCCGCAUUAGCUAGUUGGUAAGGUAACGGCUUACCAAGGCAACGAUGCGUAGCCGACCUGAGAGGGUGAUCGGCCACACUGGAACUGAGACACGGUCCAGACUCCUACGGGAGGCAGCAGUAGGGAAUCUUCCGCAAUGGGCGAAAGCCUGACGGAGCAACGCCGCGUGAGUGAUGAAGGUCUUCGGAUCGUAAAACUCUGUUAUUAGGGAAGAACAAAUGUGUAAGUAACUAUGCACGUCUUGACGGUACCUAAUCAGAAAGCCACGGCUAACUACGUG